Molecule: long non-coding RNA, 2246 nt
Filed under: Vigna radiata
Lineage: Eukaryota; Viridiplantae; Streptophyta; Magnoliopsida; Fabales; Fabaceae
Description: long non-coding RNA (VRAD_LNC001558)
Source: RNAcentral
GCUUAGAGUUGUAGCCUUAGUAUAUCAGGGAAUAUCUUGGUAAGAAAAGGAUAUUGGAUUGGAUUGUUUCCCAUAUGUUCUCCGAUGACUAGCCUCAAGCCAGAACAGUUGGGCAGAGCUGAAAUGUUCAAUCUUUGUUUGCAAAACAUUUAUGGUACCAACCAAAAGCUCCACAAAUUUGUUACUAGCAGCUACAACUGCAUAAAUCCAGUACUUUUUUUUAUCGGAAAUGUUAGUUGCUAGUAGUUGUUAGCAUAAAUCUGGUACUUAUCAGUUGAAACCUUGUCAGCUGAUGUUUCUGCAUGUAUUGAGCCACUUGUUUUGGUAUCCCAUGAGCCUACAUCUUGCUCUCUUUCUGAUCGAGGAUCCUAAAGUUCAGUAUAUAGUUACCAUUUAGUUCAAAACAUGUAUUAAUAGACAAACAAAUGCAUACACAUAUUAGGGAGGACAAUUUUUGACAGACAAUUUACAUAGAUAGAAAGUCAUCCACAUGGAAUUUUUUUUCCUGGCAAUAAUUAUGCCAAUUAACCCAUUGUUUGAGUUCCCGUUUUAUCCAUCACCAAUUGUCAAAAAAAAGCAUGUUUUUCCUUUCUCCGUAUGAGAACUUAUCUAGAAUUACAUUUCAUUGAUUCAUACAACACAUGAUGCACCAUUUUCUGGCACUGGCAAAUAGUAAUCAAGUUACAUAACAAUGGUAGUAUUUUAUCAGACUGUACAUAGGUUCAGUAAUAGACUAAUUAACUCAAUAACUUGAUGAAUGUAUUUCUUUAUGGCUGUUUAAUGAGUAGCCAAGUAUANCCAUAUCAAUGUAUGUACAGUACACCUUUCAUGCUACGAUUUUAUAAUUUAUGCUGAAUAUAUUACCAUACGCAAAAUUGAAAUUUCCAAAUAAAGAGGUAGUGAAUUUUUCUUUUUUAUGUGUUCUCCCUCUGGUUGCAGGUUUUGAAACUAGGUGAUUGUGGUUGGAAAGGCAACUCCUAACAGCUAACCACAUGGUCCAACCAGCUUUUCUAACAGUGCUCUAUAUCCCAUUACAAGUUUCCUCCCGGUUAAAUUUAUUGAUUGUUUAUCCAUAGUAGCUUAUUGUACUUCAAAAGUAACAUUAGUAUCUUUAAAUGAGUUCCUCCGUUAAGUCCUUGUUUGCAAGAGAGAAAACUAAGAAAAAAAUAAAUUAAUUUACACAUAAGUUAAAAAUAGAAAUUUAGAAAAGUUAUAUAAAAGAACCUCUACAAAUUAUCUUAUGCACAAGUUCAUUUUAUCUUACAAGUUCCUCUUAUUUUUUCUCUCCUAGAAGGAGCUUACCAACCAAACUAGUCCAUGUAGGCCCUAAAUGGGGUUGGGCAUAUGCAUUGAGUGCCAUUUUAGAGUUCCCUUCUUUGUGUGUAAAUGGGAAAACAAGCCAGUCCUAGAUCAUUGAACAGAUCCGAUCAUAAAAUAAAUGCAGAGCAAAGCUUUGAUGACCCAUGGAUUAAGUACUUUCAACUUUCAAGUACUUCAUUAUAUAUAUACAUAUUGUAAUGAGAUCAUGAGAAUAAGAAAGUAAAAUUCAAGGGCAUACCUCGAGAGCAAGCUUCUCUUGUCAUCAUCAAGAACAAACGUCUACUGAUAUUGAUAAGCAAGCACAAACCUCUACUGUUAUUGAUAAACACUACCAACAAAAGUUAGCAUCUCUAUCUACAGUAAUUGAGUGUAUCAUCACAACAUAUGGAUGUAUACUUUCUGUUAUACUUUUACCAACAAGAAGAUGAUGAACAACAAUCUAUUUUCUAGGCAAGCAAGGUAGAUUAAAAUUAAAGACAGUAAAAUUUCCAAUGAACAUAGGAUAAGGAUGCUGUAAUAUCAUAACUGAGCAUCACAUUUCUUGAUAACAAUGUCUGAUAUAAGUAACUUUCCACAAUCAUUGGUUUCAAAAUAGAUUCUAAGCUCGCUUCAGAAGCAUAGAAAAUAAUGCGUCUGCAGAAAAUGAGAAAGGGAAUAAUUGGUNGAAUCUCAAAGGCAUAAACAAAACCUAAACUGAAAAAUCUAAUUGAAUUGCAGAAUACAACAAUUACAGUUACAGAGUUUACACUCCUCACAGGCUUACGCUGCAGCGGUGGUGAAGACUUCAAGUUCGGAUGUGUUAGGAAUGGAAGAAAAGCUGAGCAUAUUAUUCAAAUUGACCUUAUGCUUCUUCAAUUUCAUUGUAUGGGGAUUUCUCAUAAUGUCAGCAGAGAGAAAAAAAAAAAGAAUUUUUAAACAACUUUCUU